Molecule: ribosomal RNA, 1311 nt
Filed under: Manticora tibialis
Lineage: Eukaryota; Metazoa; Arthropoda; Insecta; Coleoptera; Carabidae
Description: 16S ribosomal RNA
Rfam family: Bacterial large subunit ribosomal RNA (bases 852-1241)
Source: RNAcentral
AUUAAAAAUUUAUUUUUAUUUAUUUAUUUAUUUAUUUAGUUUAAUAAAAAUAAUUUUAUUUAUAUUGUUUUUAGUAAUUUUUAAUGAAAUAAUUUUUUUAAUUAUAGUUUACUAGUAUUGUAAAAGAAUAUUUGAAAUAUAAUUAAUUUAUUUAAAAGUAGAAUUAAUUGUUUGUACCUUGUGUAUCAGGGUUUAUUAAAUAUAUUUAUUUAUUUUAAUUUUCCCGAUUUCAAAUGAGUUAAUAAUCUAUUCUAGUUAUUGUAAAAUAAAUAUUUGUAAUAGGUUGUUGGUAAUGAAAAGUUAUUCGUUUUUGAAUAUAUCUGGUUUACUUAGAAAUGAAUUUAAUUCAGAUAAUUUGAUUUAAUAGAUUUAAUUUGUUAAAUUUAUUAAUUUAAUUAUUAAUAAUUAAAGGGAUAAGCUUUUAAUUAAUGUUCUAUAAUUUUAUUGCUUUUUUUAGAAAUGUAGGUUUAGAAAUAGCCAUCAAUAUUAUUUUGUUAUAAUUAAUUUAGUUUAUAUGAGAUUUUAUAAUUAUUUAGUUUUAUAUAAGUUUAUAUGUAUUAAUGAUAAAUAUGUAGAAUUAAUGAUAAAAUUAGUAUAUUAAAAUUGUAAAAUUAAGAUUUGAGGAUUAGGUUAUUUAAAGGAAUUCGGCAAAUAUUUUACUCGCCUGUUUAACAAAAACAUGUCCUUUUGAAUAUAAUUUAAGGUCUAACCUGCCCAAUGAUUUUUUUGAAUGGCCGCAGUAUUUUGACUGUGCAAAGGUAGCAUAAUCAUUAGUUUUUUAAUUGAAAGCUUGUAUGAAGGGUUGGACGAGGUAAAUUCUGUCUCUAUUUAAUUUUUGUAGAAUUUAACUUUUAAGUGAAAAGGCUUAAAUGAAACUAAAAGACGAGAAGACCCUAUAGAUCUUUAUACAGUAAUUUAUUUAAUUAUUAAGGUUUUUUUUUAAUUUAAUUUUUUAUUGUAUUUUAUUGGGGUAAUAUAAAGAUAAAAUAAAUUCUUUGAAAUUUUAAACAUUAAUUUAUGAUUAAGUGAUCCAUUUUUAGUGAUUGUAAGAUUAAGUUACCUUAGGGAUAACAGCGUAAUUUCUAUAGAGAGUUCAUAUCGAUAUAGAAGUUUGCGACCUCGAUGUUGGAUUAAAAGUUAUUGUAGGUGCAAGAGUUUACAAAUUUGGUCUGUUCGACCAUUAGACUUUUACAUGAUCUGAGUUCAGACCGGCGUAAGCCAGGUCGGUUUCUAUCUUUAGUAAUUGAGCAUAUUUUAGUACGAAAGGACCAAAUAUGAAAUAUAUUGAUAUUUAAUUUUUUGAUUAUUAUU